Molecule: unclassified non-coding RNA, 346 nt
Filed under: uncultured bacterium
Lineage: Bacteria
Description: contains 16S-23S intergenic spacer region
Source: RNAcentral
UCCGAGUUGACCCCGGCAGUCUCCUAUGAGUCCCCGGCAUUAUCCGCUGGCAACAUAGGACGAGGGUUGCGCUCGUUGCGGGACUUAACCCAACAUCUCACGACACGAGCUGACGACAGCCAUGCACCACCUGUAUACCGACCUUGCGUGUCCAGCCUGGGUAAGGUUCUUCGCGUUGCGUCGAAUUAAACCACAUGCUCCACCGCUUGCGCGGGCCCCCGUCAAUUCCUUUGAGUUUCAACCUUGCGGUCGUACUCCCCAGGCGGGGUACUUCCUGCGUUAGCGCCGGCACCCAGAGGGUCGCUCCCCCAGGCACCUAGUACCCAUCGUUUACGGCGUGGACUAC